AGAUUAGUCUCAGGGAUGCCAUGUCAGUUAAGAGUAAUCUAUGGUCCUUUCAAAACUCUUGCUGGGUUUUGCCUAAGAUUCGAAGCCUAAAGCUCUGAAUUCUGACCUCCCUGAUUACUGACUGAGGAAACAAUAUCCCCAAAAUGGAAAGCUCCAGGUCUGUGUGCUUAGAUUUAGGCUCCAAGGACUGAACACCCUGCAUGUAAGGUGUGUGUCUAAGCAGUAUUUAUGACAUAACAAACCAGCCAAGAGCUGGAGGUUCUGAUCAGCAAAUAAGGAAGGAACAACAUCUGACAUCUUUACCCACUUUAACUCAUCAAGCAAAGAACUUGUAAUACGCUGAAUGCUGCAUAGAAGGUUUUGAAACUACUUACCUGCUGUGGAACACCUGUAUAACUUUAAAAUGCAUCAAUCAAUCUCGAGAGUAUGAUCAUGCUUCCUGCUUUUAAGGAUCUGAAGUUAACUGCAACUCCAAGUAUACAAGACUUCUUUGGGACCCAUGGAAGCAUCUCUACAUGCUCAUGUUUGCCAGAUUCAGUGGCCUCCUGAAACCUGGCCCUAGCUAAUAAGUUAAAAAGCUCUAAGUAAUCCCGAGCUGCAUUUGAAUCUCCAAGAUCACUUGUUCAUGGGUUGGUAAUACUUUAAAGAGCCAUUUGUUUAACUGCUAAUCUGGAUCUUAUAUUCUGAGCCCCAGCUUUUUUCUAAAGCAAAGAAAAUACAAAAUAAAAGUAAGACCAAAUGCCUUUGUACCAUGGAGAGAGAAAUGACUCAUUGGAAUGCUUCUGUUUUUCAUCACAUCAAAGAUGCAUCAACAUAAAUCAACCAUUAUAUCAUGCACCAUGAUAAAAAAGGGGGAUAAAAGUCCCCAAACCACUGCCAAUUAAACCAACACAGUGCCUUUGUAUUAUUCAGAAUUUUUAUCUUAGCCUUAUUGAAAGAGCUUUUUUAGAACAUAUUUAAACAAUUCUGUCAUAUUUCAUUCUUGCAUACUCAUUAAAAAGGAAAAUAUGAGAGAUACAAAUGAAAGGUUUCCAAAA
This 1037-nucleotide long non-coding RNA is filed under the name Homo sapiens (human). Its description in RNAcentral is "novel transcript". Lineage: Eukaryota; Metazoa; Chordata; Mammalia; Primates; Hominidae. The record is from RNAcentral.